This 352-nucleotide long non-coding RNA is filed under the name Setaria italica (foxtail millet). RNAcentral's name for it is "long non-coding RNA (SITA_LNC003611)". The record is from RNAcentral. Lineage: Eukaryota; Viridiplantae; Streptophyta; Magnoliopsida; Poales; Poaceae.
CAAGACCACCAGCUCCUUGCUCUAAGUAAUGCUUCUUACUUCAAUUAUGUAGAUUCAAGGGCCGCUUUGCCUCAGAUGAUUGAUGAAGAGAGUUGCAAGAAGGCCUGCUUGCAGAACUGCUCCUGCAAGGCUGCAUUCUUUCAGUACGGUGGUAAUGACACUUCUCAAGGCUCAUGUUACCUUCCAACACAAAUCUUUUCGUUGCAAGUAAACCAGUGGGAAGUAACUCAUUAUAGUUCUUCUGCAUACCUUAAGGUGCAGAUCACACAGCCACCCCCAAGUCCUAGUCCCUCGAAAUCGAAUGGUACAGCAAAUAGGUCGACACCCAAAGGAAGUACAAGUAUUACUGCAG